ACCCAUUUCUAUUAUUCUAUGUUUUGCCACAUGUUUUGUGGUUUUACAUGUGUUCUAAUACAUCUUGUUCCUCUGGCAGCUAGCUGGCAUCUGUUCCUGACUCCACCCUUCUUCUCCCUGUAUCUCUGCUUGGAUUUCCUGCCUGACUCUAUCCUGCCUUGCUAUAGGCCAAAACAGCUUCCUUAUUAACCAAUGGUAAUAAAACAUAUUCAUAGCACACAGAGGGGUUAUCCCAUAGCAGCUUAUUUUAAUUUGGAGCCAGCCUGGGCUAC
Molecule: non-coding RNA, 272 nt
Organism: Peromyscus maniculatus bairdii (prairie deer mouse)
Lineage: Eukaryota; Metazoa; Chordata; Mammalia; Rodentia; Cricetidae
Source: RefSeq, a predicted model, not a curated record